RNAcentral lists this ribosomal RNA (465 nucleotides) under uncultured Pseudomonadota bacterium. Its description in RNAcentral is "bacterial SSU rRNA". It matches the Rfam family "Bacterial small subunit ribosomal RNA", at positions 198 to 644 of the family's 1533-position model. The record is from RNAcentral. Lineage: Bacteria; Pseudomonadati; Pseudomonadota.
GGAGGAAAGUAGGGGAUCGCAAGACCUUGCGCUCAUUGAGCGGCCGAUGCCUGAUUAGCUAGUUGGUGAGGUAAAGGCUUACCAAGGCGACGAUCAGUAGCUGGUCUGAGAGGACGACCAGCCACACUGGGACUGAGACACGGCCCAGACUCCUACGGGAGGCAGCAGUGGGGAAUUUUGGACAAUGGGGGAAACCCUGAUCCAGCCAUGCCGCGUGAGUGAAGAAGGCCUUCGGGUUGUAAAGCUCUUUCAGCCGGAACGAAACGGUCACGGCUAAUACCUGUGACUACUGACGGUACCGGAAGAAGAAGCACCGGCUAACUACGUGCCAGCAGCCGCGGUAAUACGUAGGGUGCGAGCGUUAAUCGGAAUUACUGGGCGUAAAGCGUGCGCAGGCGGUUUUGUAAGUCAGAUGUGAAAUCCCCGGGCUUAACCUGGGAACUGCGUUUGAAACUACAAGGCUAG